Molecule: ribosomal RNA, 142 nt
Filed under: uncultured Syntrophorhabdus sp.
Lineage: Bacteria; Pseudomonadati; Thermodesulfobacteriota; Syntrophorhabdia; Syntrophorhabdales; Syntrophorhabdaceae
Description: partial 16S ribosomal RNA
Rfam family: Bacterial small subunit ribosomal RNA
Source: RNAcentral
ACGGAGGACGAACGCCGCGAGGGGGAGCUAAUCCCACAAAUCCGCUCCUAGUUCGGAUUGGAGUCUGCAACCCGACUCCAUGAGGCUGGAAUCGCUAGUAAUCGCGGAUCAGCAUGCCGCGGUGAAUACGUUCCCGGGCCUU